GUGAUCGAAAGAUGAAAAGCACUUGAAAGAGGGUUAAAAAGUACGUGAAAUUGUGAAAGGGAAGCGCCCAUGACCAGACUUGGGCCCGGUGAAUCAUCCGGCGUUCUCGCCCGGUGCACUUUGCCGGGCACAGGCCAGCAUCAGUCUGGCGCGGGGGAUAAAGGCUUCGGGAAUGUGGCUCCCUCGGGAGUGUUAUAGCCCGUUGCGCAAUACCCUGCGCCGGACUGAGGUACGCGCAUCGCAAGGAUGCUGGCGUAAUGGUCAUCAGCGACCCGUCUUGAAACACGGACCAAGGAGUCGUCUUCGUAUGCGAGUGUUCGGGUGUCAAACCCCUACGCGGAAUGAAAGUGAACGCAGGUGAGAGCUUCGGCGCAUCAUCGACCGAUCCUGAUGUUCUCGGAUGGAUUUGAGUAAGAGCAUACGGGGCCGGACCCGAAAGAAGGUGAACUAUGCCUGUAUAGGGUGAAGCCAGAGGAAACUCUGGUGGAAGCUCGCAGCGGUUCUGACGUGCGAAUCGAUCGUCAAAUAUGGGCAUGGGGGCGAAAGACUAAUCGAACCUUCUAGUAGCUGGUUUCCGCCGAAGUUUCCCUCAGGAUAGCAGUGUUGGACUCAGUUUUAUGAGGUAAAGCGAAUGAUUAGGGACUCGGGGGCGCUAUAUUGCCUUCAUCCAUUCUCAAACUUUAAAUAUGUAAGAAGCCCUUGUUACUUAACUGAACGUGGGCCUUCGAAUGUAGCAACACUAGUGGGCCAUUUUUGGUAAGCAGAACUGGCGAUGCGGGAUGAACCGAACGCGAGGUUAAGGUGCCGGAGUGGACGCUCAUCAGACACCACAAAAGGUGUUAGUACAUCUUGACAGCAGGACGGUGGCCAUGGAAGUCGGAAUCCGCUAAGGACUGUGUAACAACUCACCUGCCGAAUGUACUAGCCCUGAAAAUGGAUGGCGCUCAAGCGUCCCACCCAUACCUCGCCCUCAGGGUAGGAACGAUGCCCUGAGGAGUAGGCGGACGUGGAGGUCAGUGACGAAGCCUAGGGCGGAGCCCGUCGAUUAAU
Molecule: ribosomal RNA, 1050 nt
Filed under: Cordyceps sp.
Lineage: Eukaryota; Fungi; Ascomycota; Sordariomycetes; Hypocreales; Cordycipitaceae
Description: partial large subunit ribosomal RNA
Rfam family: Eukaryotic large subunit ribosomal RNA
Source: RNAcentral